RNAcentral lists this ribosomal RNA (253 nucleotides) under uncultured bacterium. Its description in RNAcentral is "partial 16S ribosomal RNA". It matches the Rfam family "Bacterial small subunit ribosomal RNA", at positions 524 to 776 of the family's 1533-position model. The record is from RNAcentral.
UACGAAGGGGGCUAGCGUUGCUCGGAAUCACUGGGCGUAAAGGGUGCGUAGGCGGGUCUUUAAGUCAGGGGUGAAAUCCUGGAGCUCAACUCCAGAACUGCCUUUGAUACUGAGGAUCUUGAGUUCGGGAGAGAUGAGUGGAACUGCGAGUGUAGAGGUGAAAUUCGUAGAUAUUCGCAAGAACACCAGUGGCGAAGGCGGCUCACUGGCCCGAUACUGACGCUGAGGAGCGAAAGCGUGGGGAGCGAACAGG